GAUGAACGCUGGCGGCGUGCCUAAUACAUGCAAGUCGAGCGAACAGACGAGGAGCUUGCUCCUCUGACGUUAGCGGCGGACGGGUGAGUAACACGUGGAUAACCUACCUAUAAGACUGGGAUAACUUCGGGAAACCGGAUCUAAUACCGUAUAAUCUAUUGAACCGCAUGGUUCAAUAGUGAAAGACGGUUUUGCUGUCACUUAUAGAUGGAUCCGCGCCGCAUUAGCUAGUUGGUAAGGUAACGGCUUACCAAGGCGACGAUGCGUAGCCGACCUGAGAGGGUGAUAGGCCACACUGGAACUGAGACACGGUCAAGACUCCUAAGGGAGGCAGCAGUAGGGAAUCUUCCGCAAUGGGCGAAAGCUUGACGGAGCAACGCCGCGUGAGUGAUGAAGGUCUUCGGAGCGUAAAAAUCUGUUAUUAGGGAAGAACAAAUGUGUAAGUAACUAUGCACGUCUUGACGGUACCUAAUCAGAAAGCCACGGCUAACUACGUG
This 497-nucleotide ribosomal RNA is filed under the name uncultured bacterium. RNAcentral's name for it is "partial 16S ribosomal RNA". It matches the Rfam family "Bacterial small subunit ribosomal RNA", at positions 28 to 507 of the family's 1533-position model. The record is from RNAcentral.